GGUCUGUAGCUCAGUGGUACAGCACUUGCCUAGCAUGUGUGAGGCCCUGAGUUUGAGCCUCAGCACCA
This 68-nucleotide transfer RNA is filed under the name Marmota monax (woodchuck). RNAcentral describes it as "tRNA.Ala". Lineage: Eukaryota; Metazoa; Chordata; Mammalia; Rodentia; Sciuridae. The record is from RNAcentral.